CAGUAGCCGCGGUAAUACGUAGGUGGCAAGCGUUGUCCGGAAUUAUUGGGCGUAAAGGGCUCGCCGGCGGUUUCUUAAGUCUGAUGUGAAAGCCCCCGGCUCAACCGGGGAGGGUCAUUGGAAACUGGGAAACUUGAGUGCAGAAGAGGAGAGUGGAAUUCCACGUGUAGCGGUGAAAUGCGUAGAGAUGUGGAGGAACACCAGUGGCGAAGGCGACUCUCUGGUCUGUAACUGACGCUGAGGAGCGAAAGCGUGGGGAGCGAACAGGAUUAGAUACCCCCGUAGUCCCUGUCUCUUAUAC
This 301-nucleotide ribosomal RNA is filed under the name uncultured bacterium. Its description in RNAcentral is "partial 16S ribosomal RNA". It matches the Rfam family "Bacterial small subunit ribosomal RNA", at positions 509 to 807 of the family's 1533-position model. The record is from RNAcentral.